Long non-coding RNA from Culex pipiens pallens (northern house mosquito), 787 nucleotides. RefSeq lists it as uncharacterized. The record is from RefSeq and is a predicted model, not a curated record. The transcript is spliced from 2 exons. Lineage: Eukaryota; Metazoa; Arthropoda; Insecta; Diptera; Culicidae.
UAAAUAAUCCACACGUUGAUGCUACCUGAAAAAUCACGUAACCCCGAUUUUCCCCUCGCUAGGCUCGUUUUACGUGACACACGUAAAAAUAAUGUGAAAGUGUACUGGCAAAAAAAUCUGUUCACGUUGAUGUUACGUGAAAAGCCUUACGAUAUUUUUCCACUAGGGUUUUUCAUGUAGUUCUUAUGUGUUUUGAAAUGUAACUUCAACGUAACUCGAGUGCGCCAUUCGGCGAAAUUUCUACGUGAUUGUUUUAGUAUGAAAAUUGCUGGCGUUCGGUGAAGAAUUGCUGCCGGACUUGUGGUCGCAAAAUUUUAUUGAAAAUGUAACAGAUGAUGUCUAGAAGAAGCACAUUCUGACCGGUGAUAUCACAAGCGGUGGCCUAAAGGACCCCUCGAAGGCGAUCCCAGGCGCAAUCUCGGUCAUCAUCCUUACGUCGCUUUCGUCCGUCGGAACGGCAAUUGUGGCCGAUGUUACUGUGGUGCCACCGGAAAUGUUUCGGACUUGGCCAACGGGUCAUGGACAAGGUCGUGGACCUAUGCCGAUUGUGCUCCGGAGAAGUACGAGUACGGAUUACACAACUCGUUCCAGGUCAUGGAGUUGGUGUCUGGUCCGAUCAUCUACGCCGAGUACGCCGAAAAAGGGUUUCUCCCCGGACAGCAGAAUCGGCAAACUAUGACCACAGAUCUCCGACGAAGAGACCAUUUUCAUGCAUAUCGCCAAAACAGCGCAGUCAUCAGUUUAUUUCCAGCAAGAGGCACGGCAUUACAAAGUGGGGACAGUGAAA